RNAcentral lists this ribosomal RNA (321 nucleotides) under Hypoxylon sp. BAB-4065. RNAcentral's name for it is "eukaryotic LSU rRNA". The stretch from base 1 to 99 matches the Rfam family "5.8S ribosomal RNA", at positions 56 to 154 of the family's 154-position model. The record is from RNAcentral. Lineage: Eukaryota; Fungi; Ascomycota; Sordariomycetes; Xylariales; Hypoxylaceae.
CGAUACUUGGUGUGAAUUGCAGAAUUCAGUGAAUCAUCGAAUCUUUGAACGCACAUUGCGCCCAUUAGUAUUCUAGUGGGCAUGCCUAUUCGAGCGUCAUUUCAACCCUUACGCCCUGUAGCGUAGUGUUGGGAAUCUACCGGUAGGUAGUUCCUCAAAUCGAUUGGCGGAGUUAGCACAUACUCUAGGCGUAGUAAUACCAUUCUCGCUUCGGUAGUAGUGCUAGCGGCUAGCCACUAAACCCCCUAUACUUCUAGUGGUUGACCUCGGAUUUAGGUUAGGAGUACCCGCUGAACUUAAGCAUAUCAAUAAGCGGAGGAA